RNAcentral lists this long non-coding RNA (7708 nucleotides) under Lynx pardinus (Iberian lynx). Lineage: Eukaryota; Metazoa; Chordata; Mammalia; Carnivora; Felidae. The record is from RNAcentral.
UCAGGAAUGGGGACAGAGGGGUGCUGUCCUUCUUGAUGUUAACAGUUCAGAGGGAGGGCUCCCUGGUUGUUAAGAAAGACAUUCUUGGACCUCAAAGCUGGCAAAAGACCUAUCUAGUUUUCACAAAGGACUUAUAUACAUUUCAAAGAGGGCAGAAAGCCUCUGAAAUCACAAAUUUCCUAAAGUAAAUGCUGUAAGUAAAAGGAUGGGAAGGGACUUUCUUCCUCUAUUUUCAACAGGGACAAUAAACUUCUUACCUUUUUUUUUGCCCUUACAGUGGACUUUGGUUGUGUUUUGUCCCAUGGGUGUUGUUCAGCUGGCUGUUGGCUGAUUGAUCUAGGAGAGUUUUAGCUGGAAAGGCUUUGCUAGACUGAGCAUGUCCUUCCUGUGUCAGAGGCCAAGGCAAAGGCACAAGCAGUUUCUAGCCUCUGCUAGUCACAUUCCCUGAACUCUCAGUGGCUGAGUCAAGGUGCAUGAUGGAACCCAGAGGCAGAGUGUGAAGGCACUAAAAAUAUGUGGCAGAAGCUGAGAUAGAUGUAAAGGAGGCUGAAGGAUUAGGGAUAUGUUCAUCGUCAGACUAUCACAGAUGGGGCCAAAUAUGAAUUAGUUCAGGAUUUGAGUUUGAAACAUCUGUGAGGAAUUCUGGCAGAGCUAACCCCCAGGGAUGUGGAUAUUAGGGAGAUAGCUCAGGAAGUAGGUAGGGUUUUCGAUGGUGGAAGCAGAUGCCCCGGAGCGUGUGUGAGGUGAGAAGAGCAGAGAAGGAUGUAACCUGGGACCAAAUUCCUCUUUCUGUCACUAGGGGUAAUGGACAUGCCACUCUCAUGGUUGGAGAGAAGAGCCCUGCCGUCUGUGCCCAAUGCAGGACCCCAUGCUCCUUCCUUCUGUUCUCUAUGGCAGGGCCACUGCUUUGCUCCCUAGGGAGCCCCCAGAAUGCAUGCUGCCCCUGGAGUUAUGCACAGGAAGACGCUGAUGGCAUCCCCGGGUUCUGGAAGGCCUCCCUGUGCUCUCCACCUUCUCUCUUGCAGGCGUGGGCUUUGUCCCCAAAGUACACGUCACUGGGCCAGAGAGGGACAGGGUUUCAGUGCACAGCCUUGGAGUGGCUCCCAAAGCCCCACGUGCAGUGGAGGUCCCUCAGUAGGGAGAAGUUCCUGGCAUUCUCGGAGACCCAUGCCCAAGAUGCUAAAGCGGUGUUCAGUGUGGAGGCUGCCUGGUGGUGAGUGACAGGUCUCCAGGCAAUACGACCUGCUCAGUGCUUAGCCUCAUCUGACCUGCCCACCAUAUUGCCAGCUGUUUUGCCUUCAAUGCAACUAGUUCUCAGUCAGCACCUGGAAGCCACAAACCAGGUAUACUUAUGUUGAAACCUUGCCGUUGUACUUCACCAUUCUGCUCUUUGCAGCUUCAUUCCCCCUUUCUGCUUUUUGUUUUAAUUAUUUUUAGUUAUGCCAUUUUCUCCUCUGUUGGCUUUAACAAUAUCUAGAUCAUGUUUCUUGAUUUCUCUAUUAAUUAUAGUAUUUUUAUUAUUUGUUGGCUACCCUUGAGAUUCAGCUUUAUUUCUUUCCUUUUUUUUCUUUUUCUUUUCUUUCUUUCUUUUUUUUUUUUUUGUAAAUUAAACUGGGUCCUGAGCUCCACCAGGAGAGGGUCCAAUGAAUCUGUGCUGAGCUGACAUUAAUAUUUUCUUCAGCAGGCCAGGAAGGAGUCAGUCCUGCACAAAUCUGAACAUAUGCAGCCUGGCAAAGGGCACAGGAGUGCAGAUGCUGGGAGGCAGAAGUUGGUGUUGUCAGAGUGGAGGUUAGAAAGGAGGCUAGGAAGGCUGGAGAGAGUUGGGGAGGAGAGCAGAGAGGGAGAAGGAGGAGGGCCAGGGCCUGGGGCAGGAUGACAUUUUCAGCACUCUGCUACUAGUGCUGUAUGACCUUAUUUCCCCACACUUAGUGGCUUGACCUACAAACACUUACUGUCUCACAGUCCCAGGGAACCAGGAAUCCAGCAGCACUCAGCUGGGGGCUCCUACCAGAGUCUCUCAGGAGUUUGGGGCUGUUGUCAGCACCGAGGCAGGACUUGCUUCACUCAGAACCUGAGCUCACUUAGGGGUGUUAGCAGGGUUCAGUCGACAUCAAAGGCCUGAGUUCUUCUCUUCUGUUGUUGUCUCUCAGUGCUAGACCACAUGCAUGUGUCUGUGUCAUGACUCAACAUAGAGGCCUGUUCCCCAGUGUGAGGAUCUGAGAGAGAACACAGGUCAGAGUGAGCACGUGGCUGGGCACUGAGAUUUUAUAACCAAACCUUGGAAGGGGCUUUGGGUCCUGUUGCCAUCUUCUGUAGAAUAGAAGUGAAUCACUAAGUCUAGGCCACACUCCAGAGGAGGGAGUUCCACAAGGACAUGUAUACAGGAGGUGGGGAUCUCAAGGAGCCACUGAGGGGAAAAGAUGAGGACCCUGACAGGGUCAGUGCCUUUUCCAGAAUCACAGGGACUGGUCAAAAGGCAGAACCAAGCAUGAAUCUAGCUCCAUGUCCUUAAAGUUGGGGUUCUGGCUGCACCCAGGCUUUCUGAGGGGGCUCUGGAAAAGGUUGUGUUAUUGUACCUGUACAGACAUGGAGAUGGUGUGGGGGUGAGGGUGAACAGGAGGGUGACAGGAGGCAUUCCAACACAUUCUUGUCUGAGGAGGACCCCAGGUCAGGGCAACACACUGAGUGCACCCCUGUCCACAUUGCACCCAGUGGAGAGGGAGAGAAUGGCAGAGCCUAGAGGUAAGGGUGGGUUCUGACCUUCUAGGCCAAAGCUCCAAUCCAUUCUGUCUGGUUUGCUUUGGAAAUUAGCCUAUGAUCUUGGGAAGCUUUUGCCCAUCCUUCCCAUCUUCUGGGCCUCCAGAAUGUGAACACUGGUACACACACACACACACACACACACACACCCCAGUAAGGACGGUGGGGUGGGAUCUGAGGAGCUGCAGGUUCAGAGGUGGUGAAGAGACAACGAAAAUAUGGCUGGAAGCACAUCCUAUGUGUGACACUACUCCUCCAAUUUCAUAGGUAUCAUCUGAAAUAUGCCUGAGGACAUCCCGAGGAAGUACAUGCUAGAAUAAUCUCCAUUGCACAGGAAGGACACAGACCAUCCCUAAGAGGCAUAAUGGCUUAUCCAGGGUCAAAAUCAGGUAAGAAUGAAGAUUUGGGUCUGAACCUAGAUGUGUCUCAAAGGUGGGACCCGGAUGCACCCAGACCUUCCCAGGGGACUGUAGAGAGUAGUGCAUUGGUGUAACUGUGUACAGAUGAGACAUAUCAUGGAGAAAGGGGGUGAGAAGCCAGCAGCCCAGGGCUCUAUUUGCAUAGGUGUUAUCCCUGGAGGGGACUCGGGUAGGUGAUCCUAGGCAGUGAAGUUACUGCCUUGACAACAGACCCCAAGAGAACUUGGAAUCCCCAUAACCAGGCACCCAAAUUCUAGUAUAGUCCCACACCAGGCUCACUUGGCUGGAGACACUUGAUAGUAAAAAAUGUUUUCUUGCUGUUCUUUCUUUCUGGAGCUCUGGCUUCCAGAGACCCCAGUGGGGAAGAUGUUUCAGAUGCUGUGGAUGUUGGCUCAACCCUUGCUCCCAAUGCCUCAGGCUGUUUUUCUGAAGGCCCCGUAAAGUAGUAAUACAGAGCAGCCUAGGGAAGGCCAGUUCAGCUCAGGCCACCUGUUUGAGCCAUCCCUGGGCAGCCCCAUUCCCUCCUCUUCAGUUUCAGGGAAAGAGGGACAUGUGAGGAGGUCCUGCCCGGGGCUAGAGAAGGUUGGAGGGCAGUGGAUAACCUGGUGACCCCAUCAUGUCCACACCAAUGUCAUGGUGGGUAGGGUGGAAAAGGGAUUCCUGAGGUGCUUCUUUCCUGUGCAAGGGUUAAUCCAAGGUCCUUGCGCAUGUAUCUUUUUCCUCCUUGGUGGAAGUCUGUGCACACUGUGGUGUAGUGUGUCUGGAAUGGAGUCACAUGGGUCUGAGGGCCAGUAAAGGCAGCCAGUCAGGACUCUGAGGCCUCCUGCCUAUCUGCUGCACUGUCUUUACAGAACUGCACACCAGAGAUGGGGCAGGAGUUGAGUGAUGAGAUCCUCUGCUCAACUUCCGUGAAGGACAGGAAUAUGCCCCACAACACCAACAGGAUGCAGCACCGAACCGGCUCAGGGGGAGUGCAGAUACCAGGGAGACCCAACACCCAGGGCCCAGAUGCAGCAACAAGAUCCCAGGGCCCAGAAGCCACACUGCUAGUCCCCUGAGCCCCCUUGUAGACUUCUGCUCCCAGAUGAAUCUGGAUCCCCAAAUCCUGCUCAAAUUUGCCUUCACGGCCCAGCCCCUGCCAUGGCCAGAUGCAAAGUCACUGUCCACUUAUUUGUAGGAAUAUCAGAAAAGAGACCUGAAGUCAUUUCACAUCCCAUCUGGUCUAGAGUAUUUUUUCACUGUUGUAUGUAUUUUCCUAACUCCUGUUCUCAGGUGUCCCUGUUGGCCUGACCAUCCUUGCACAACUUCUCCAAAUCUGACACAUGAUCAUCAUGAGUGGGGAGAUUUUUGCCAGAAGGGACAUGGGGCUCAUGGUAUUUUGUCUGCUGCUCUGCAGUUUGGUUGCCAAGGAACACAUCCCUGAGGCUCCUCCAGGUCAGGAGUAGGGGCCUGUCUGGGCUAUACAACAUUCCAGAAGGGAGAUGGGUUCCCACACCCAUUUAGCUCUUCACUGAUGUGGGACUUUGACAUGAUUCCCUUUUGUUGCCAUGUUACGGUGCUCACUGGACAUCCUACAUGACCUAUUACCCUAAUCCCUCUAACCCCAGGAAAUGCCUCUGCCUUCUCUUCUCUAGAAUGGGCUGUGUUGUCAGAAAUCACACGGAUGAUGCUGUUGAUGCAGGGAGGUGCUGUCAAUACUCAGCUAACAAUCUGACCUGAAAUACUCACAUGUUCAGUCAAUAUCCACCUCAAAUUCUAGUUUGAAUGCCAAAAUCCUUUUUCCUACUGUGGGUACCUAUGUUUCAGUCUUGCCACAAGCCACUGAAGGCUUGGGGAUUUGUUCUGCAUUCUGUCCCCUAACCCUCCUGGUGGCCAGUGUGCUGCCUGACUCCGUGUCCCUCCUCUGUUCCUCCUCAGGGUAAAAAUGCCUCAACCGUGAAUAAGAAUGAGACCAGUGUGGUGUGGACCAUCCAGGCAGGCUUGCUGGAUAAGCAAGUGUAGCAUCCUGUGCCUGUCUUCCUGGGCAGAGACCGCUGCCCCCCCGCCCCCAUGUCUCCAUGUUCCUGGACAUGUACAGAACUUUUCCACUACUGAAAAGGUGCUGGAUCUGUUGAUUCCAAGGUGAGCACCCUGCCUCUCCACAGCCCCACUGAAUGUGGCCACUUACAGGCUUUGAGUCUUGGGAAUGUCCCCAAACCUCCCCAAGUCUCAGUCUGUUCCUCAGAUGGGGGCAGAGUUAUUAUAGGGACCCAGUGGGGCCCUGCAGGGAAAGUGCACCUGACAUUGUGGAACGGUCUGCUGGCAGGGCUGUGGCUGUGCUGGGUUAUUAUUGUCCUCUUCCCCAUGAUGACGUUUCUGCCUCAUCUGUCACUGUCACCAGGUCUUGAGCCGGGCCAUUUUCCCAUUUGAAAAGGAGAUUUGAGGCUCCAUCUGGGGGUCUGAAUCCUGGCUGAGACCAGAGCAGGGAUCCCUGGGGGUGAGCAGGUGGCCCCAGGCCCACUCAGAUAUCUGUGAUGGUGCUAGUUGAGGCCCAUUCAUUUAUCAAACAUACAGGAAGCUCCACCAGAUGCAGACACUUCUUUAGGAGCUGACUGUCAGCCAAGGCACAGAGCAGACAACACCCUGCCCUCUAGGGCUCCAUUCUACACAGGGGUCAGUGACACUACGUAUGACAAGAGGUAGCAUGCACAGGACAGGUGAUAUGAUGUCCUCCUGGCCUCCUGUAGGUAUGGAUGCAUCCUUCCUGAAAUGGGAUGAAGAUGGCAGGCCCCUGGAGCAGAAGAAAAUGUGAGUGGGCUUUAGACAAUGCAGGAGGGUCUUCCCCCUCCAAGAGGGCAGCGGGGGGGUGGGGCGGUGAGUUGGAAGGGCUCUGGACCCUGCAUCCCACACAUCUGCGAUUCCUUUGAGCGGGCAAAGGUCUGAGUGCUUCUCCUGGACGAGGAGAAAGGGGUUCUAGAGAGCCAUAGAUGAGGUGUGGGCACAGUGGGACAGCAGAGGGGGCCAGAGGACAGAGUCACCUCCUAAGAGAGUCCAACCCCAUCCUUUCCCACUCCCAGUCCUGCCUCCACCCCCAUCCUGGGACCCAGAACAAAGGGUGUGGGGAGCAUCACACUCACCAAUCUGGUGGCACUUCAACGGUGGGUGCUCAGCAAGUGCUUCGGAGACCCAGUGAGGGCUCAGGGACCAGCUGUCCCCCACCUUGUGGGAGAUUAGGGUCAGUGGGGGACACCCACAUGGAUGCGAAGUGAAUAAAGCAACAUGUAGGCGGAGGAGGUAAAGUUUGAGGUAUUAGGAGGGUCCUGAGAAGCCCUUCUGAGAGACGGGUUCCUUUGUUUCCUAUUUGUUCCGAUAUUCAUGGAGCACUGGUGUAUGCAGUGAGGACAAUGAACCGAACAGAUGCCACCCCUCCUUGCCCACAUGGAGUUGAAUUCCAGCAGGAAGUAGGCAGGCAGACAGAGCAAAGAGUCCUUCUCCAAGAAGGACAGAGAUGGCCCCAUCAUUGGUUAAGGGCUCCCAUUCAAAAUGGCUUUUUGCCAGCCUCUCCUCAGUGACCAGGACUAUCUUAGCAGGAGUGCCAAAUCAGAGGUGGACGAGGAGUAGGACCAGCCUCUGGACAGCUGGAGGCAUAGGAGCCCAGGUUCCCACUGGGUGCCCUGAGACACCAGUCUUGAUUCUUCUGCCCACUUCUGUAUCUCCAGGGCCAUCUUCUCCAUUCUGGGCACCUGGAUGGACAACUCCUCUCAGGAUUUUUUCCAACCUGCAGAAUUUCCCUGCCUGAAGAUGCUGCUGGCAUAUGUGGGGCUUAACAUGCUGGGCUCACGUCUGGAGCACCGUACGUCUGUUUUCCUCUCAUAGCUGGGACACAUGGAGCCCAAUGAGCCAGAGGUUGAGGGUGAGGAGAACUCAGGGUGGGCGAUGUGAGCAUGUGGAGGGGACAGGGUAGGCCACACAGAACAAGUAUCCUUAAGCUGUGUUUGGCUCAGGAGCCGUGAGUAGUCUCAGAUAACUGUCCCCAUGGUCUGCCAUCUGGGGAGACUUCCUGGGGGUGGGUGCUUGGACUCAGAAGACAUUGACUGGUGGGAGAGGUUUCCUUUAUUUGGAAGAGACAUGGAAAGGCAAUCAUGGUGAUGAUACUUUCUCUUCUUGAAGCUAUAGCACCCGUUCCGGAGCAGGAUCCAGAACCAACUCAAGAGCUAGCCCCAGCUCCUGCUGUGGUGCCUGCUGCAGCUUCAGAGCCCGAGGUGGCUGAAGCCAUCACUCCUGCUGGAGCUCAGCAAUUAGGAAAAGCAGUGACCCUCCCUGCAGUGUCAGAGCCCGUGCAAGUGGUAGUUAUAGCUCUGAUUCACUGUCAGGAGCUGGAAGAACCACCUGCACCUUUGGCAGCCGUGGAGCAUGAGCAGGCUCCAGCCCCAGCUACUGGGGUUCCGGAAGGACUAGAACAACCACUUGCUACAGCUGAACAACCAGCCUCAGCUCCCAAGCAGUGGCUCAUGUCGGCUGCAGCCCCAAAGGAUGGCUUCCCCUCCCCUGUC